ACGCCUUGCGCUUCAUGGCGAAGAUGUACGCACCUCCUUCUGCUAACCAACCUUGUAACCAGGCUUUUGAAAUGCAAGGAUAUUGUUAUUACUCAUUACAUUACGAUGAUACGCGAUAAAAUUGCAAGCAGCUUCAUAUCGCUGAUAGUUGGCAUCCUGGUUGCAAUAUAUGUGUACAGGCUUCUGGAGAAGGAUGUUCCCCAAAAAGUGAAUAGAAAGCCACAGAAUCCAGAGUAUCCCUUGCCGGCUUCUCAUUCACCGUUGCAUGAAUUCGCGCGGGCUGGCAUCUGCACCGACAACGAUGUCUGCGGUCUUAUGGCCAGGAAGGCCCUUGAAGAUGGCGGUAGCGUUGUGGAUGCCGCUCUCUCUGCCUUACUCUGCAAUGGCCUCAUCGGAAUGCAGAGCAUGGGUCUCGGCGGUGGCAUGUUGAUGAAAAUUUAUAUACACGAAGAGCGAAAAUCCUACAGCAUUUCUGCCCGCGAAAUAUCACCCAUUUCCCUGCGGGCCGAGAACUUUUCCAUCUUCCGUGACGAGCAGGAGUUCAAGCAGUCCAGCUGGUCCAUUGCGGUGCCCACUGAACUAGCUGGCUAUGCCCUCGCCCAUCAGCGAUUUGGCCGGCUGCCAUGGUCGGAGCUGGUGAAGCCAACGCUUGCAUUGUGUCACACGGGCUAUCGCUUGUAUAAGCAUCAAUAUGAUGCCCUUGCCCUGAACAGAGAUAUGAUCAAAGCUGAUCGUUUGCUGCGGCAAAUGUUCAUCGAUCCCAAAACAGAGAACUUCUGGCCCAUUGGCCAUUUCAUUCAGCCUCCUGCCCAACUGUGCAGCACCUAUGAGCGGCUGGCCAUGGAGGGACCGCACAGCUUCUACAACGGAUCUCUGGCCGAGGACCUGUUGGCCGACUUGAGGGACAUGGGCAGUGUUAUAGGCAAGGAGGACCUAAGCCGCGCUGAUGCUAAAAUUAGCGAGUCCCUGGUGAUUCCCCUCGACGAAUACGAUCUGCAUUUGACGCCUUUGCCAGGCAGCGGCCAUGUCCUGGGCUUUAUAAUGAGCAUUUUGCGACACUUUCGUAGGGACUUUGCACGCACCAGCGAUAUGGGGCCCCUGGAGGUACAUCGAAUGAUUGAGGCAAUGAAAUUUGGCUUUGUCAAGCGCUGGCAGCUCGACGAAGCGGCCGAUGAGCAGCUACUGAAAAGCAUGACCAGCACCAAGGUGUCCGCUUCCAUGGCCGAAGAAAUCGAUGACUCUAUGACGUUCAAUAGCCCCCGGUCGUACGGGGCGCCCGCGGAGAUACGUGUGCGAGAGGAGCACGGUACGGCCCACACAUCAGUGCUGCACGACAACGAUGCCGUUUCAGUCACCAGCACCAUCAAUUUCUACUUCGGCAGCGGACGCACAGGAAAGCGUACAGGUGUGCUCUUCAACAAUGCCAUGUCGGACUUCUCCAUCAAGCAUCUGAGGAACUACUUUGACUUACCCUUUGUCCCAGGCAAGAACAGGGUGGCACCCACUACCCGGCCCAUGUCCUCGAUGAGCCCUCUCAUCGUCACUGAGCGCACGACGGGCAAGGUUCGGCUGGUUGUUGGUGCCGCUGGUGGCACCAAAAUCAUAUCCUCCCUCGUUCCGCUGCUGGUGCGGAUUCUUUGGCAGCAGGCGAACAUCAAAUAUGCCAUCGACGCCAGUCGCAUUCACCAUCAGAUGCUGCCCAAUGUCCUGCUCUAUGAGUAUGGCCUGCUGGAUAGCCAUGUGAAGAGCCUGGAGACCAGGGGACAUGUCUGUGAACGCUAUCUGAACCGCGGCUCUGUGAUAUGCGGCAUAACCCAAAAGAAUGGCACCAUUCUGGUGAAUUCUGACUUUCGUAAACCCGGCGGAGUUACUGGAUUCUAAAACGGGUGUUCCGCCGCGUUUCUACACUCUACACUACAUGUAGAACAUGUAGUACAUGUAGUGACGGCACAUCUACAUACUACAUAGAACAUGUAAGUGUACCUGUAAAAUACACAUUUGUACGUAGAACUUUAUUUAUGUACCAUAAAUAUAAGCACCAGAACACACACACUCCUUAUUGGCUGAUGAUAUCUAUAUAAGACACUGAACAAAUCACGAUACAAAUAUUAAAGUUGUAUUCUCUUAGACCCCAUUUGUGUUGAUAUGAUCUUUGGGUUAUCUAAGCCGAAAAAACCUGCAGCAAAAAAAAGUAGCUCAAACCAAAAAUCAGUUUGAAGCGGGCUCUUGCCCAAGUGGCGAAGACAACUUAACUAAAAUGUUGUUUUAUAUAUAAAUGUAUGUACAUAUAUAUUUUUUAGUAGCUCUUUUUUAUUUUAUUUUGCUUUUGUUUUUUUUUUAUUUUCUUUGUAUUUCUGCUUCUGUGCGCUUCUCUUCUGUUGGCCCUCGGGUUGCAAGACCAUUGGAUUGCUUUUUGUUCAGCAGUUAAUUCAGUUAUUUCAUUAGUAAAAAUGUUAAAUAAUAUUUGCCAACUGAAGCAUUACAAACGUUAGUUCAAAUACCCAUAACCUGACACACAGUUUCAUGGGAAGAAGACGACAAAACUGGGCAACGGACGAAUGCAUUUUUUAGUUUUUUUUUUUUGCGAAAUGGCAAAUCGACUUCAGAUUACCCGCAUAUACACAUGUGUACUUACAUAUGUAUUUAUUGCAAAAUUAUAAUGAAUGGCCUGGCUUGAGUAGUUAUUCAGAAAGACAGAAAGAACCAACGAGCGAGACGCCUAGCGAUCCGAUACCAUUCCAUUACCAUCUUGAAAAAACCACCCACGGUUCUCAUGGGGUCGCUGAUCUGAUCGGAUACGAUCCGAUCCAAUCCAAUCCGACUGCUUCUGCUUCCCACGUCACAUGGCGAAAAACUUUCAUUUGAGUCGCAUAAUCAAACGCUCAUCUGGCUUCCCUCUUCCGGUCGGUCGGUCGGUCGGGUGGUCGGUGACAGAGCCACCUGAGCCCUCCACAGCCAUCGCUGCCAUCUCUGCCAUCUCUGGCAUCUUUGCCAUCUCUGCCACCGGGGAUGUGGCUGAUCUUCAUGGGGGUUUGGUUUUCGUAAUGCUGCAGACGACCCCGACCAUUGCCGAAAUCUCUGGCGUUGCGAAUGGCUCUCCGACCAUUACGGUAUCUCUUGCCUCUUUCAGUCCACUCCAAUCGUUCGGUGGUCAGUGAUCCGCUGGACCGCUGGUCAGUGGAAUUAGGACAAGUAUGGGAAUAUAAUCAGAAAGUCUCGAGUCUCAAGUCUCUGGCCAUCAGUGCUAGUACUUGUACUGCCACUAUUUGCCACAGUUGGCGGCUUAGGCCAGCCAUGCUGCCUGCCAAUUAAUAGAAUUAAACAGAACACAGAGCACAGCUCAGAGCUCAGAGCUCUUACUGUACUCCAGUUUUAGUACGGGUUUUGUCGUCUUAUUUUUCAUCGUGGAAUUGUGUAGUACUCAGGUUCGGGUCGGCUACUCUGUUGUCUCUGUUGUGACCGAACUAGCCAGCAAAAUUACAACCAAACCAACAACACAAAAACGAAAGAAACAAACAACAACAAAGCCAAGCCAUUUUACGUCAACAGUGUGCACUGCGAGGUUUCACCAAAAAGUUAUACCACAACAAAUAAAAAAAAAGGGGGAAAAAAACCCGCCCAACCUCUUCUGUUAUUCUAUUGUAGCACAGAUUGAUUAAACGCUAUACCGUGUAUUUAUGAAUGUGUUAAAAAUUUUGAUUCAAUAAUCCAAUUAAGACGGCCAUAAAAACAAAGACAACCAUAAAUAAUGCUAUGCUCAAAACACGCUCAAAUUUAAGCCAUGCAAAGUGAAUGAUGUAAAAACAGUUUGUUUUUUGUUAAAAAUUAAAUACAAAUUAGUCUUAAGAAAAAAACACAUACCUACACACAAAUCUUUAAGGAAAUAAGUAAUAUGAGAGUUGAAAAAUAUUUCUGAUAGUAAAAUUCACAGACAAAAAAGGUUAAUUUAAAAGAAAUGUUUAAAAAAUGUAAGAAAUCUUUUUAAAACUAAAUUACAAAAAUUCGACUUUUAGUAAUUUAGUCCUGGCAAAAAAACAAAUUAAAGUCUGUCUGUCUGCGACGUUGUUAAAAAAAAUCUUGUUUUUUAAGAAAAUCUAUUUAUUGUUUCGUUAUAAGAUAUUGUGUGUUGUAAUUGCUUAAAUGAAAAAUAAAUAAAACCUUGUUACAAAUGCACACAUUUGUUGCGUUAAUUAACCAAAUAAAUGUAAAAUAAAAAAUAAAAAACAAAUAUUAAUUCUUAUUUAAAGGCAGUGGCAAAACCAAAGGUGUAACCUUGUGGGGCUCGGGGGAGCUUGGGGAACCCAUGGAACCAACCUCGCGGCCAUUGUGUAAAGCAGUGCUGCGAUUGCGCAGUUUGUAUUUCGCGUCGGCAACAAUGCCACACAAUGACAAACACAGGCCCAGCAGCGACCAGCGUGCUGCUGCAAACCGAGCGAGCGAGCGAGCGAGCGGCUGAAAACCGACCACCGAAGCGAUCAACCAAGCAACCGACCGACCGACCGAACGACCGACCGACCAAUCAACCUUAUGGUGACGGUGCCGAGUCGGUUCGGACUCGGACUCGGACUCGUCGUCGGCACCGGGAUCGGGAUCGGAUCGGCGUUGCACACGCGCAGUACUCGCACUCGCAUUCGCAGUCCGCGGGCCAAGCGCCGCGCCAAAUGGAAACCAGUUAGAAGACAACUUUCAAAGCAGACGUGUCAGGCGUACGGUUCGCGUUCGGGUCGGUUUUAUUUCGCUUUUCAGCGUACUCUUGGCAGGCAGCAAGCAGUAGUGUUAACUCCGUUAAUAAUAACCAAUAUCUAUGUGGACACACAUGCACAUGCAGCAGGCGAGCCACAUAAAAGAGUAAUAAGUUCACGUUCAUAGUAAUAUACAUUAUCAUCAUCAUCAUCUUCACCGCCGUACCGAGUACCUACCAUAAUAAUUAUGCGGUGGAAAAUCCAAUGUGAAUGCAAAGUGAAAAUCUAAUGAACGCUGAAGUCGCUGCCCCUCGGGCCUCACGCUAUAUGUUCACAUGGUAUGGUGUUGUUCAUGCAUACACCUCAUCUCAUAUAUAUGCAUAGAGGAGA
Molecule: RNA transcript, 5072 nt
Organism: Drosophila pseudoobscura
Lineage: Eukaryota; Metazoa; Arthropoda; Insecta; Diptera; Drosophilidae
Gene name: glutathione hydrolase 1 proenzyme
Exons: 6
Source: RefSeq, a predicted model, not a curated record